AGUGAACGCUGGCGGUAGGCCUAACACAUGCAAGUCGAACGGCAGCACAGUAAGAGCUUGCUCUUACGGGUGGCGAGUGGCGGACGGGUGAGGAAUACAUCGGAAUCUACUUUUUCGUGGGGGAUAACGUAGGGAAACUUACGCUAAUACCGCAUACGACCUACGGGUGAAAGCAGGGGAUCUUCGGACCUUGCGCGAUUGAAUGAGCCGAUGUCGGAUUAGCUAGUUGGCGGGGUAAAGGCCCACCAAGGCGACGAUCCGUAGCUGGUCGGAGAGGAUGAUCAGCCACACUGGAUCUGAGACACGGUCCAGACUCCUACGGGAGGCAGCAGUGGGGAAUAUUGGACAAUGGGCGCAAACCUGAUCCAGCCAUACCGCGUGGGUGAAGAAGGCCUUCGGGUUGUAAAGCCCUUUUGUUGGGAAAGAAAAGCAGCAGGUUAAUACCCCGCUGUUCUGACGGUACCCAAAGAAUAAGCACCGGCUAACUUCGUG
Molecule: ribosomal RNA, 492 nt
Filed under: uncultured bacterium
Lineage: Bacteria
Description: partial 16S ribosomal RNA
Rfam family: Bacterial small subunit ribosomal RNA
Source: RNAcentral